Molecule: ribosomal RNA, 229 nt
Filed under: uncultured bacterium
Lineage: Bacteria
Description: partial 16S ribosomal RNA
Rfam family: Bacterial small subunit ribosomal RNA
Source: RNAcentral
GAUCAUGGCUCAGGAUGAACGCUGGCGGCGUGCUUAACACAUGCAAGUCGAACGAAGCACUUAUCUUUGAUUCUUCGGAUGAAGAGGUUUGUGACUGAGUGGCGGACGGGUGAGUAACGCGUGGGUAACCUGCCUCAUACAGGGGGAGUAACAGUUAGAAAUGACUGCUAAUACCGCCAUAAGACACCGAGGCUGCAUGGNUCCGUUCGGGAAAAGAACCGUCGGUGUG